UUCGCCCUUUCCGGUUGAUCCUGCCGGACCUGACUGCUAUCAGAACGGGACUAAGCCAUGCGAGUCUGCCGAUCGAAGCAUGUUGGUUGGCGGCGAACGGCUCAGUAACACGUAGUCAACCUGCCCUCGGGUCGAGCAUAAUCUCGGGAAACUGAGGCUAAUUCUCGAUAGAUCAAGAUUCCUGGAAUGGGUUUUGGUCCAAAUGGCGUAACAGCAUCUUGUUAUUUUCGCCCGAGGAUGGGACUGCGGCCGAUCAGGCUGUUGGUGGGGUAAAGGCCCACCAAACCAGUAACCGGUACGGGCUUUGAGAGAAGGAGCCCGGAGAUGGACACUGAGACAAGGGUCCAGGUCCUACGGGGCGCAGCAGGCGCGAAACCUUCGCAAUGCGCGCAAGCGCGACGAGGUUAUUCUGAGUGAUUUCCGCUGAGGAAAUCUUUUCUUAGAUCUAAAAAGUCUGGGGAAUAAGGGGAGGGCAAGUCUGGUGUCAGCCGCCGCGGUAAUACCAGCUCCUCGAGUGGUCAGGGCGUUUAUUGGGCCUAAAGCAUCCGUAGCCUGCUCAGUAGGUCUCCUGUUAAAUCCAACGGCUCAACCGUUGGUCUGCAGGAGAUACCGCUGGGCUAGGAGGCGGGAGAGGCGGACGGUACUCCGAGGGUAGGGGUAAAAUCCUUUGAUCCCCGGAAGACCACCAGUGGCGAAGGCGGUCCGCCAGAACGCGCUCGACGGUGAGGGAUGAAAGCUGGGGGAGCGAACCGGAUUAGAUACCCGGGUAGUCCCAGCUGUAAACGAUGCGAGCUAGGUGACACGACGCCUUCGGGGCAUCGUGGUGCCGCAGGGAAGCCGUUAAGCUCGCCGCCUGGGGAGUACGGACGCAAGUCUGAAACUUAAAGGAAUUGGCGGGGGAGCACCACAAGGGGUGAAGCCUGCGGUUCAAUUGGAGUCAACGCCGGGAACCUUACCGGGAGCGACAGCAGAUUGAAGGUCAAGCUGAAGACUUUACCAGACGAGCUGAGAGGAGGUGCAUGGCCGUCGCCAGCUCGUGCCGUGAGGCGUCCUGUUAAGUCAGGCAACGAGCGAGACCCAAAGGGCG
Molecule: ribosomal RNA, 1087 nt
Filed under: uncultured Nitrososphaerota archaeon
Lineage: Archaea; Thermoproteati; Nitrososphaerota
Description: bacterial SSU rRNA
Rfam family: Archaeal small subunit ribosomal RNA
Source: RNAcentral